Molecule: long non-coding RNA, 158 nt
Organism: Hordeum vulgare subsp. vulgare (domesticated barley)
Lineage: Eukaryota; Viridiplantae; Streptophyta; Magnoliopsida; Poales; Poaceae
Exons: 3
Source: RefSeq, a predicted model, not a curated record
UCAUCGGACGCCCGGCGGCCGGUGGCGGAAGCAUCACCAUGAGCCGAGCAAGAUUCUCCAGAUCCGGCUAGUACGUGGUGGCAGCAAUCCUGCGAGUUCCUGUAGCAGAUAUGUCACAGACAAGAAUCUCUAUAAGUAUUUGAAGCAUCUUUCCUAUC